UACAGAGGUCCCAAGCGUUGUUCGGAUUCACUGGGCGUAAAGGGUGCGUAGGCGGUCGGGUAAGUCUGAUGUGAAAUCUCACAGCUUAACUGUGAAACUGCAUUGGAUACUAUUCGGCUUGAGAGUUGGAGGGGGGACUGGAAUUCUUGGUGUAGCAGUGGAAAUGCGUAGAUAUCAAAGAGGAACACCAGUGGCGAAGGCGAGUCCCUGGACAACUUCUGACGCUGAGGCACGAAAGCUAGGGGAGCAAACAGG
RNAcentral lists this ribosomal RNA (255 nucleotides) under uncultured bacterium. RNAcentral's name for it is "partial 16S ribosomal RNA". It matches the Rfam family "Bacterial small subunit ribosomal RNA", at positions 524 to 776 of the family's 1533-position model. The record is from RNAcentral.